This 432-nucleotide ribosomal RNA is filed under the name uncultured bacterium. RNAcentral describes it as "partial 16S ribosomal RNA". It matches the Rfam family "Bacterial small subunit ribosomal RNA", at positions 29 to 506 of the family's 1533-position model. The record is from RNAcentral.
AACGAACGCUGGCGGCAUGCCUAACACAUGCCAGUCGAACGAGACCUUCGGGUCUAGUGGCGCACGGGUGCGUAACGCGUGGGAAUCUGCCCUUGGGUUCGGAAUAACAGUUGGAAACGACUGCUAAUACCGGAUGAUGACGUAAGUCCAAAGAUUUAUCGCCCAAGGAUGAGCCCGCGUAGGAUUAGCUAGUUGGUGAGGUAAAGGCUCACCAAGGCGACGAUCCUUAGCUGGUCUGAGAGGAUGAUCAGCCACACUGGGACUGAGACACGGCCCAGACCCCUCCGGGAGGCAGGAGGGGGGAAUUUUGGACAAGGGGCGAAAGCCUGAUCCAGCAAGGCCGGGUGAGUGAUGAAGGCCUUAGGGUUGUAAAGCUCUUUUCCCCGGGAUGAUAAUGACAGGACCGGGAAAAUAAGCCCCGGCUAACCCCGG